Molecule: ribosomal RNA, 272 nt
Filed under: Escherichia coli
Lineage: Bacteria; Pseudomonadati; Pseudomonadota; Gammaproteobacteria; Enterobacterales; Enterobacteriaceae
Description: partial 16S ribosomal RNA
Rfam family: Bacterial small subunit ribosomal RNA
Source: RNAcentral
AAAUUGAAGAGUUUGAUCAUGGCUCAGAUUGAACGCUGGCGGCAGGCCUAACACAUGCAAGUCGAACGGUAACAGAAAGCAGCUUGCUGCUUUGCUGACGAGUGGCGGACGGGUGAGUAAUGUCUGGGAAACUGCCUGAUGGAGGGGGAUAACUACUGGAAACGGUAGCUAAUACCGCAUAACGUCGCAAGACCAAAGAGGGGGACCUUCUGGCCUCUUGCCAUCGGAUGUGCCCAGAUGGGAUUAGCUUGUUGGUGGGGUAACGGCUCACC